This 40-nucleotide ribosomal RNA is filed under the name Escherichia coli 2-156-04_S1_C3. The record is from RNAcentral. Lineage: Bacteria; Pseudomonadati; Pseudomonadota; Gammaproteobacteria; Enterobacterales; Enterobacteriaceae.
UAGUGCUGAAUUCACUAUCGGCGAAGGUGAGUUGAUGGCU